Molecule: long non-coding RNA, 611 nt
Organism: Hyla sarda
Lineage: Eukaryota; Metazoa; Chordata; Amphibia; Anura; Hylidae
Exons: 3
Source: RefSeq, a predicted model, not a curated record
GCAGUGGAGAGCUGAUGGUGGAGAGGAACAGGCUGGGGGAGCUGUGACCCACGUGGGACGCCGAAGGAUGGCGGGUCUCUCGGAGUAGAAGAGACGCAGAGUGGGAGCCUAGAGAAGAGUGCAUGCAGACGGGAGUGGGUGAGAAAGAACGUAAGGAAGAAAGAUGGACAAGAUUUUAAGAGGGAAAGUUCAAUUUGCAACACGACUAUUGGUGGCAAGAAAAUGGAUGUCUAAAGAAGCUCCAAAUAUUGAUGAACUUAAGGCUACAGGAUUGUGAAGCCCUGGUGUGUACUCAUGCUGCUUCCUGCUACACUCUGUCAGCCCGUUGGUCCUGUGACAGUGUGCGACUCCGCCUACACAUCCUCCACUCUGUCCUAAGCCUCCACUGCCCGGACAAGUCUCAGUGGCCCUUCAGCAUACCAUGUGUGCAAGGCACGGCGGUGUCACGCUGUUCUUCACAUGGUUUGCCUUGGCGAAAAGUCUUGGAAACAAUGGCCGGUCAAGGCAAUGGAGACGUUGCGCCUACAUCUCACAUGUUGUUGGAUUUGGUCCUUUGUACUCACACGCUGAGGUCCGGGACACUCAAAGUUUGAUCUAAAUUUCAAAUAAAA